GUAAAAUUACUGCUCCGAAGAGAAACAGGUGACACAACUCCCUCUCCCUCUUGCCUUUCUCCCUCGUACCUCGUACUUCUCACUCCCGCACUGCAUACUAGUCUUCUGCUCUACGCCUCUUUCUCUCCUUCACAAAUCGUCCGCGAACGCCAUCGAGGUACUUCGUCCCUCUCUCCUCUGACACAUCAUCGAUCAAAAUAGUGGAGGCUUACGACACACAUACGUGAUCAUCAUCUCCGUUUUUUUUUAGUUGUUGUGAGUGCUCUUCCUUUGUGCGCUACCUCCAUUUAUCUCUCUAUCUCUCUCUGUGUUCCCUGCGCGUGUGUGUGUUGUGUUGUCCAAUCCUCCCUCUUUCCCUCCCUCCUUCCCCCCUCUCUCCGUCUGGCUCUCUUCCUCCACGUGCUGAAAGGCGCUGCUUGAAGGAUUUUUUUUGUGUGUGCUUGUUUGCGUUGUUGUUGCUGUUCGUUCGUGUGGCCGACCUUUGCCGUGCCGCCGUUCCUCCGUCGCUGCGAUUCACAUCGUUUUCACACACACACACUCACUCUCUCACUCUGCAGAAGCACCGAAGGAAACAUUUGCGGACAACGACCUACAUAGAGACCGAGGGAGAACGAGGGCGUGCAGAGCAGCCAAGCAUAGCUCACCUGCUGCACUUUUCAUUCUCUCGGCCCGUCGUUUGGUCCUCAUCAUCUGUGCGCGUCUUCUCCUUCAUCAGCACGGCUCGAAUUUCAGAGAGUUACAGAAACAGAACGACUGUACAAAGACAGAUACGCGGAAAACAAGUGCUCGGCUGCUACUCAUUUUUCGCCACUUACAGUCUUUUUCGCACUCUCGGGUUUCGCUUCUGCAUACGUGCACCCCUGCCUGUCUCUGUGCCUCUGCGCGGGUGCGCUCUCUCGUUUUUGCCGCUCUUUACCUUCUACUGUACAUAGGCGUCCUUUUUCCAAUUCACGUAGCAGUAGUGGCAGGCAAGCAGCGCAAGAAAAAAAAGAAGAUACACCACUGCGCACGCCCCCUUCUCUACCCCCACUUCUGGGUGCGUGUGUGUGUGCGUCUCACCCUCUCUUUAUUUUUUGUUUCUUCAUUCCCAGUCUUCUCUGUUUCUCCUUGUCGUUGUCUUGGCGCCUCUCCUUGUCUCACCUUCCCUCACCUUCCCUCACCUGUUGCUGUGGUCGCCCCCCUCACCCUUUCGCCGCGUCCUUCCAUCCAUCUCUUCUUGAAGUUUGUGCGCGUUGUUUUCUUUUUUUUUGUGUGUGCGCGUGCUGCCGCUGCUGCUCUUGUAGACCUUAGUACUCGUAGGGAGAAAGUUUUUGUAGUGUAGUUUCUCUGUCUUUGUCUGUAUAAGCGUGCCAAUCCUCCUCCUCCUCCUCCCCCUCUCACAACUCACUUUCCUCUGUCUACGGCUGAAGCAGCACCUCACCUUGUUUGCCAAAACAACAAACAAAAACGGAGUAGCGCGAGAGCGGUGUAGUGAGGGAGAUAGAAGGCUGCGCGUGUGCGUAUUUUGCUAGCCAGAACACCGUGAGCCCAGCUUGCGUACCGUAUUUUCGUACUCAGCGGCUCUUUUUUUCUUUUUGGCUUUCUUGCCGCGUAUUUUUGGUACAUCUGCCCCCUCCCUCUCUCUCGUUGUACCCCCCCCCCCCCACCACCACAUUUGCUUGCUCUCCGUCAACACGCGAUAAAAGUGUAUCGUCGUAGUGUUGUUGGCGCUGUCACCUCAGCUCGUCCGAUCGCCACUCCCUCCCGUGCGCAUUCGCUUAUUCUUUUUUGUUGUGCUCACACUCUUUGUUCGCUCUCUAUCUCUUGACCCUCUUUCCUUUUCACCCACAACGGAUGUGUGCACGUCUGUGCGCGUGAGUGCGUCACCGUCUUUUCCCACGCCUCCUCUGUUUCUCCUUUUCUUCCCGUCUUCGCUUUCUUGUCGCUCGGGUGCUGGUCUGUUUCAUCCUCCAGCCGCGGCGUGUUUUCUUGUUUUCGUUUUUGUGGUGUUGUUUCUUCACGUGCUUGCGUGGUCGCUUUCUUUGGUGCCCCACCGCGCCACGCACACACCCUUCCUCUUUUUUUGUUCUGUCUCUCUUGCACUUCCUCUUCUUUAUCUGCGUUGUGUUUUCUUCAUCUACAUCUUCCUCUUCGCCUUGUAGUCACGCGCAUCGACGGUGAAGCGCGGCAGGUGGGAGCGAGUGAGCGGGAGAACAAGGAGUGCACCGCGAACGGCAACAGCCUUCGCGAGAGGACAAGAGACAGCAGAGUGGUGCGCUUCGAAGUGGUCGAAGCGCGCUACAUCGAUUUCCUCGCGGCUCCUUCAUUUUCUCUCUCGCUCUCUUUCCUCGUGCGGUGUAGCGCGGUAGUGUAUUAAGCGAAUCAAGUAUCCAGCUCUUCUCACCCGUGCCCCUUUUCUGUUCUUUUUCACAGACACACACACACACACACACUCCCUUUCUUUCUUUUUCGUGUUGCUCUUGUUUUGCUUUUAGGAGCCUCUCAUCAUCUUCUCUUGUACCUCAUCUACCUUCUUUUCACUCGUUGGCCGAAGCCGCGCUACCGCUGUCCCCUCUUCUCCCUCUGCCGUUUGUGCCUCUUUCAGCUCAUCACUCUUGUCGUCAUCUGUCCUGCUUCUUCGCGUUGAUCUCUCUUUUUUUGCCCCCCCCCCCCUCCUGCUGUCGUUCUCGCCGUGCAUGUGCGCGUGUGCGUGCUGUGGAUUGUUGGAUAUCUUCUCUCUUCUCCCUCUCCAGUAGCCUGUAGGAUUUGCAGCGGUGCAUUGCGCGCUGCGGCUUUUGCUUCUCGAGAGGCCGUCGAUCGCCGGCAGCAGCAGCCACAGCGGAUAGGAUAGCACAGAACAAGGACAAGCACUCACACGCUUAGCACUAUUAUUAUCUCGGUGCGUGUGGGCUGACACACACACACACACACACACACACAGACAGACACACACAGACAUCCCUUUCGUUUCUUUCUCUUCCGCGUCUCGUUUUGAGUUCUUGUGCUCCCUCACCGUCGCUCAUCAGAUUCUUUUAGACAUCUGGCCAGCCGCUGUGCCACUGCCGAGAAGCGCGAACACUUUCCUCGCGUUUCACCCACCCUCCUUCUUCUCCUACCCCGUACGUGUCUCGACCACCCGGAGAAAACGAGAAGAAAGAAAAAACAUACACACACACACACAAACAUAGUGGACUUCAGCGCUUUUUUUCCGUGUGGUCGUGUGCUCCUUUUUGUGCUCUCUCUCUGUUUCCCUACUGCGAUACCCACGAGGCAUACCUAUCCACAGUCCAGGCGCAUCGCCGAUAAGUGCGCUUGCAUAUUUUCAUUGUAUUCGAGGCCUCUUGCACUCCUCUUCUCGUUUAUAUCUGUCACAGUUUCCGUUUGAAAGGCCUCUUUCUUCGCUUGGAUUGCCCUUCUCAGCUUCAUCAGCAUUGCGCACCAACUGAGACGCACACGCACACGCACACGAAAAAAAAAAAACCACGCUCACGCGUACCCGGAAAGGAGACGCGGCACCCAAGGCUCGCCUCUCCGUCCUCCAACCCUUUUUUUUUCCUCCACAGCGUGCUCGCAGCGGAACAGACCAGAGCAGUGUGUGUGUGUGUGUGGAUACUCUCCUUCACAGGAUUCACUAGUUUUUUUUGUUCCCUUUUUGUUGUUGUGCAGGGGUUUCGUUGGUUUUCCGAUCUACUCGUUUCCUUCUUGUUUGGAUACUCGAUUCCGCUAGCAGUUGCCCCUCCCUACCCCCUCCUCCCUCCACACAAACAACAGCAACAGCACGAAAAAAAAAGUCGGCUGCUGCUGCUGCUUUUUUCUUUAUUAUUAUUUUUUUCUUGAAUUGACUGCGUCUUGAGUGCGGCGUUUUUCUCGGCGGAGACCACGCUGUCUCAUUUUCCAGCCUCCUCCAGUUUUCCAUUCGGCUGCGCUACGCAUAGCUCUGAGCUUGUGUUUGUCUUUCCCUUUUACGGUGAUCUAUCACUGUAUCGUGGACUGGCGCUUGGUGCUCCUCUGCCUUUCUCUUUCUGUGCUGUUCCUUCUUUCUCACUCUUUUGCUCACCGUCUCUUGAACUCUCCUUCUCACAGUGGUUUGGAUCAUACAGUCCGUCAAACGGAGGCGCAACACUCACAAGGCUAGCAGGCAGAAAAAAAGAGAGGUGAGCUCAAAUCACCACACGUCGCUGCGCUUGGCAAGGGGCGCGCAGUUGUUCCUUUUUGGCGUGCCGACCGCCUUUGCAUUUUUCUCAGGUGCUUUAUCCUUUCUCCCGCCCAUCUCUUGCCCCCCUCCCCCCAAACUUCUUUUUUUUUGUGGGCUGUCAUUGUCGUGAUUCACUUCCUUUGUGCGCUUCCGUUGCUUACAGCCUUCUCGUGUGCAUCCUUGCUUUCCCCCUGACCCGUCGGCAGAACGUUUUUUCUUGUGCUGCUCUUCGCCAUUUAGAACCUCUGUCUACUUCGGCUGCCUGCGUGGCACUCUUCAUCGCUCCUUCGUGACCUCGGAAGAGAGGAACGCAGCUGUCCCCCGUUUUUCCUCCUCCAAAAAAAAACGAAAAGAAGACAGAAGAAGCAGACAGACAAGUAGAAGGCCACAUCGCGUUGCGAAAUACAGCCGAGCAAGCACAUCUAGGGACCGUUGCAGGUUUGUUUUCAUCUCUACCUUCGCCGUUGCGUCCUCGGAUCGCUCCUCGUCUCUUGUUCUCCGACAUCAUCUCUCUCCCUUCUGGACCUUUGCGGUGAUAUCUUUUUUUUCUUAGUUUCUUGCUUUCUCCGUUUCUCUCUCUUCCUUCGUCCUUCUCGCGUGGCAGCGGAGGCGCAGGUGUUGCAGGCGCUCUCUUCGUUCUUUUCCUCUCUUCUUCCUCGGUUUUUUUCCCACACACACUUCCCUACAUACACGUUUUUCCUGCUUCUUUUUUUUUCGCUUGUGUGUGUGUCGUUGCUGUUGUUGUCACCAGCCGACCCCUCCUUCCAUCAGGCUAGCUAUAUCUUUAGCUAUCUAUUUCCUCUCCCCCUCUCCCCACACAACCUUCCCUUGGUUUGCUGCGUUGCUGCGUUUUUGUUUUGUUGUUCUUCACACAUACCCACUCACACAUACACAUAUCCCCCCACCCCACGUCCACACACAUAUAUAUCUUAGCUGCAUAGAGUUACCCCUCGCUUCCUUUGAUUGAUUGUUUUUUUUUUUCAAAUUUCUUUAGGUGGUUUGCUUUUUUUUUUCAUGCGCUUUUUUUUUCCGGCUCCUCCGCCUCUUCGCUCAUAAUACGCUCAUCAUUAGUAGAUCGUCAGCGGUCCGUUCUUUGUUGUGUUGUUGCAGUUCGAUCAUCUGCGUGUUGGCUUGGCCCCCUUCUUUGUUGGUUUCUCGAUUUCGUGCUCGUGUCUCUCUUUCUGUGUUUAUUUAUUGUUUGUUUCGUGGUUUCUUCAGUUGUGGUGUGUGUGUGGUGUGUGUGUAUGCCAUAGACACCUACUCUCCUCAGAUUCCCGCUACUUCCCUUCCUCUCUCUAUCCCACAUCCCUCCACUGCACCAAACACGCAGCCGUAGCGGCCGCGUCUUUUUAUCCGUAGCGGAAAGCACAAAAACGUGCAUCGGCACCAGGGAAACUCUCGGAGCCGCGUCGUCGCGUAUACCAUCGUGGCGCCUCUCCCUUCCACUGCGUUUUCGCACUCUCUCCCUCUCUGUGAGUCGUUUGAUCUUGUGCAAGGCCUGGCGUGCCUUUUCGCUGUGGUGUUUCCCUUUCUCCAGGCUCUUGCUGUAGUCUCUCCGUCUGUGAGGUGGUUCUCGCACGUUUGGGAGCGUGUGGCUUUGUGUCGUGGUCUCUGUCUCUACACUGCGCGCUAGGUUUCUCGCGACACUCUUUCCCUCUGCCCGAAGUAGAUAGUACACAUACGGCGGCCAUUGAGCUCUGACUUGUCGUGGCGCUCUCUUCUCGGUCGAUCAUCCCGGUUUUUUUUUUUGGCGUCUUCGGUUCUUUUUUUAGGAGAGAGACAGGAAAAAAAAAGAACAGCAAACCCACGCUCGCUCGAUACUUGCUUGUGCAUUGACGCCUUUUCCCUCCUGUGACCAUCACCGACUCCUUUCACUUGAUCAGUCGUGUUUUCACCACACCCCGCAUCGUCACGACAUCAUACGCGCGUGUGCGUGCGCUCUCGUCUUGCUUCAACGAGCGAGCGUGAGUGCUCCCUCUCCUUCUGCAGGGCUUCGUUUUGGUUUAUUCUGCGUUUCGCUUGCUGUUGCUGCCGCUGUUGUUACCGCCUUCCCUUCCGUAUCCCUGUCAUAUCGUUGCUUUUCUUUUCUCUGGCGCUCGCACUCCCUUUUCGUUGUUGUUCUGUGAAGAGGGAGGCUGCGUUGUUGUGCUUGUGCUGUCACUUCUCUUCCCCUCUUCUCCUUCCCACAUUGUACAUCUUCGCCCUUCCUUCUCCGACCUCUCCUCAG
This 6401-nucleotide unclassified non-coding RNA is filed under the name Leishmania donovani. Its description in RNAcentral is "gene:unknown". Lineage: Eukaryota; Euglenozoa; Kinetoplastea; Trypanosomatida; Trypanosomatidae. The record is from RNAcentral.